GUUGCGAUACUGUGAGGUUGAGCUAAUCCCAAAAAGCCGGUCUCAGUUCGGAUUGGGGUCUGCAACUCGACCCCAUGAAGUCGGAGUCGCUAGUAAUCGCAGAUCAGCAACGCUGCGGUGAAUACGUUCCCGGGCCUUGUACACACCGCCCGUCAAGUCACGAAAGUUGGUAACACCCGAAGCCGAUGGCCUAACCCGUUUGGGAGGGAGUCGUCGAAGGUGGAAUUGGCGAUUGGGACUAAGUCGUAACAAGGUAAC
Molecule: ribosomal RNA, 258 nt
Filed under: uncultured bacterium
Lineage: Bacteria
Description: partial 16S ribosomal RNA
Rfam family: Bacterial small subunit ribosomal RNA
Source: RNAcentral